GCUGCGGUGGCGGAAUGGUAGACGCGCUACCUUGAGGUGGUAGUGGGAGCAAUCCUGUGGAGGUUCAAGUCCUCUCCGCAGCA
RNAcentral lists this transfer RNA (83 nucleotides) under Candidatus Dojkabacteria bacterium. RNAcentral describes it as "tRNA-Leu". It matches the Rfam family "tRNA". From Rfam's summary of the family: Transfer RNA (tRNA) molecules are approximately 80 nucleotides in length. Their secondary structure includes four short double-helical elements and three loops (D, anti-codon, and T loops). The record is from RNAcentral.